Molecule: transfer RNA, 116 nt
Rfam family: tRNA
About the family: Transfer RNA (tRNA) molecules are approximately 80 nucleotides in length. Their secondary structure includes four short double-helical elements and three loops (D, anti-codon, and T loops).
Source: Rfam
GGCACUUUGGCCGAGUGGUUAAGGCGAAAGACUUGAAUGAAAUCAUACAUUAAAGUGUGAAAAACAAGGUUAUCUUUUGGGAUUUUCCCGCGCAGGUUCGAGUCCUGCAGGUGUCG